Molecule: ribosomal RNA, 489 nt
Filed under: uncultured bacterium
Lineage: Bacteria
Description: partial 16S ribosomal RNA
Rfam family: Bacterial small subunit ribosomal RNA
Source: RNAcentral
GAUGAACGCUAGCGGCAGGCUUAAUACAUGCAAGUCGAGGGGCAGCAGGACUGUAGCAAUACAGUUGCUGGCGACCGGCAAACGGGUGCGGAACACGUACGCAACCUACCCAAAACUGGGGGAUAGCCCGGGGAAACCCGGAUUAAUACCUCGUAACCUUUUUAAGUGGCAUCACUUGAUAAGUAUAGCUCCGGCGGUUUUGGAUGGGCGUGCGCCUGAUUAGGUAGUUGGUGCGGGUAACGGCCCACCAAGCCUGCGAUCAGUAACUGGUGUGAGAGCACGACCAGUCACACGGGCACUGAGACACGGGCCCGACUCCUACGGGAGGCAGCAGUAAGGAAUAUUGGUCAAUGGACGUAAGUCUGAACCAGCCAUGCCGCGUGAAGGAUGAAGGUCCUCUGGAUUGUAAACUUCUUUUAUGGGGGACGAAACCCGGAUAUUCUUAUCCGAUUGACGGUACCUCAGGAAUAAGCACCGGCUAACUCCGUG